Long non-coding RNA from Sparus aurata (gilthead seabream), 4916 nucleotides. The record is from Ensembl. Lineage: Eukaryota; Metazoa; Chordata; Actinopteri; Spariformes; Sparidae.
AUGAGUUUAGUUCUGGAAAUAUCUCCAUCAGACUUGACAACAUUUCUGUUGAGGAUGAUAAGAACACAUUCUUUACCUACGUUAAUUUAUAUGAUGAGCAGAAAAAAGUCACCAAACAGUCUCAAAAACAAUGCAUAUUCACGCUGCAGGUUUCAGGUAAAUUCAGAAGCUUCUUCACACCAAACCUCAAUAAAUCUCUCCUCAUAUCAAAGUGCUGUAAAUGUCUCAGUUGUUCUUUCUGUCACACUCACAGCUCCCUACCAGGAUCUGGUCCUGACAGUUAACCACACAACCAACAGUGCAACCUGCUCAGCACGAGGAGGAUACCCUGCAGCUCAGGUAUCAUGGAAGGGUCUGAACAGAUCCAGUGAUGAACAAAUGGACCUGCAGGAUGCUGAGACGUUCCUGCAGCAGGCUCCAACAGAGAAAACCUUCUCCUUCACAAGCUCUGUCAACGUUACAGGGUUAAAGUCUGUAACCUGCAUCGUCUACAACCCUCACUCCAACAAGACCAUUAACAAAACUAUGGAGUUGGUGGAGAUCAACACUGCUGAUCCUCCUGGUGUGUGGAUCACAACGCCAACCUUCUCUACUCCUUCCCAGGAUGAAAACGGGAGGCAUCAUUUUCUAAUAAUUGCAGCUGUUGUCCUCUUCAUCAUCCUCAUCCUCAUCCUUGCUGGUUUCUGUCGGUGGUACAAAAGUCAAUGUCCAGUUCCAGGACCAGUUCUAGAACUGAACCCAGAACCAGACGUCCCUAAUCUCCAAGAUGCAGUUCAAGAAGAAGCUCCAGAUUUAAAUCCAGAUGCAGCUCGAGAACCAGUCGAUCCUAAUCCCCAAGACCCAGUUCAAGAAGAAGCUCCAGCUCCAGAUCAAGCUCCAGGUCCAGAUCAAGAUCAGGAUCCAGAUCAAGCUCCAGGUCCAGAUCAAGAUCAGGAUCCAGAUCAAGCUCCAGGUCCAGAUCAAGAUCAAGAUCAAGAUCAAGAUCAAGAUCAAGAUCCAGAUCAAGCUCCAGGUCCAGAUCAAGAUCAGGAUCCAGAUCAAGCUCCAGGUCCAGAUCAAGAUCAAGAUCAAGCUCCAGGUCCAGAUCAAGAUCAAGCUCAAGGUCCAGAUCAAGAUCAGGAUCCAGAUCAAGCUCCAGGUCCAGAUCAAGAUCAAGCUCCAGGUCCAGAUCAAGAUCAGGAUCCAGAUCAAGCUCCAGGUCCAGACCAAGAUCAGGAUCAGGAUCCAGAUCAAGCUCCAGGUCCAGAUCAAGAUCAGGAUCAGGAUCCAGAUCAAGCUCCAGCCAACCAACCACCAGCCGAACAUGAUCCCCAAGAUGGAGCUGAAGCUGAAGAUGCAGACGCAGCAGAACCUGCCCCAGACCCAGUUCAGGAGGAAGGUGAGCUGCAUUUAGCUGAUAGCAGCAGCUAGUUUGGAAAUGCCAACUGAGAUCAUUCAAACCUAAGAACUCAUAAUAAUAAAAUAAUGAUAAUAAUAGUUAAUGUCUCUCUUUCUCUUUCUAACCUCUCAGCAGCUGAUCCAUCUGAGGACACUGUUCUACUAUCUAAGGAUCGAGCUGUGUUUCACUGUCAGACAAAGACGAGUGAAGGUACUGCAGACUGCGACACCUGUGAGGACGCUGCUGCUUCACCAGAGAAAGAAAAACUGCUGGAAAAAGAAAAUGGAAAUGAAGACAGCGCCUCUGAUUGAGUCAGAGUGUUUAUGAGAACCUGGAUCAGAACUGAGUCAGGGAGGCAACAACCUGAAGAACUACUGCACAUGGACUAAACUGAUCCUUGAAGACUUGAUCAGACAAACUCAGGUCCAUUAAACUGUGGUCCAUUAGCUGUUAGUCAAACUCUGGUGCUGAAUAAAUAACCGGACAAAGCAAACAGACCAACAACAGUAUGUUGGGAUAGUUCUGUGUGUUUCUUCUCUGGUGUCACACAGAGCAGCCAGCUGGACUGUGGUUCUGGAGAAGAUGAGGAUAAAAACCGCGUUUCUUUACUAAGUCUGGCAACUUUUAUCAAUCCACAUGAAGAAUCUCACGUCUCACAGGGACUGAACGAAGGUCUGUUUAUUUUCAUACACAGAAUCCACAUUAUCUCCACAAUGAAGGCUCAACUUUGUUUGUUCACACUGAACCAACAGCUCCAUCUGAAAGGUGCUCAACUGUGUCCAGUUUAUUUAAACAGCCUGUCGGCCAAGCAGAACCAGAAGUGGUGUGACGGUACACAUCAUGAUGUUGACAUCCGUGUGUUUCUCAGUGUCACCUGUUAAUCUGAUCACGAACCUGCUGACUGUUUAUAAUCAUAUGGAUGUUGUUCUGAUGUGUUGUUGAGAUCCAGACCCACCAAACAUCCUGGAAGGUGUCAAAGUUACGUUUUUUGCUCUAAGUUACAUAAUUACAUCGUCACCAUCAGUAAACAGAACGCUGUCUACCUCUAUCACUCACAGGGAGGGAGGAUGUUUUCUGGGGGAAAGUUUCAGGCCGACCGUCACUGUGAUUCUUUACAAUACAAGUUAAAAGUUGGUAGGACAGACAGGACGACAGACAGGAUGACAGACAGGAUGACAGACAGGACGACAGACAGGAUGACAGACAGGAUGACAGACAGGAUGACAGACAGGAUGACAACUCUUUUCUUCAAUGUUACCAAAGACACUUCCAGUUUCCUCAGUACUGUUGUUUGGUCCUGUUACAUUACUUUUUGGGUUGAAGUUUGGAACAUUUCUCUGUUAUUUGAUGAGUGAAGGAAUUAUUUAUCCAUCAGACUGAACACCAUCAGACAGACACACUGCGGUCCACACUGACGCCAAACUGUCCUCCCUUAUUAUUAUCAGGACAUGAUUCCCACCUUGAAAGCGCAGUUUGAACAGGGCUGUGGUCUGUCGAUUUAUUAUGUUGCCUCCUAUUUAUUUUAUUUUUUAUUGAGUGUCCAGUGAGUGUUUUUGUAUCGUCAGUGUGUCUAAAUGUUGGGGUUUGUGUUCAAAGUGUUGGGAUUUUUCUGAUAAACGAUGGUGCUUGAAAAUGUAUUUGAUUGACUGUAUUGUCUUGUGUGUCACUUUAUUAUAUAAAACUAAGUACAAAAAUGGUCAGAAGAAGUUGUGUGUGAACCAAAAUUGAGAACAAACAGAAUAAUUAGGAAUAAACAAAAUGCUUCCACUCAAAUGGAGAGAAGGGAAAGUGUCACCUGUGUGAACUGAGAGAACUGAAGUCCGAUAUAUGACCCUCGUGAGCAAAGAACUAAUCCUCUAUUUACAUGUGCAAGAGGGCAGAAAGAGAAAAACACUGAGCUUAAUCUGAUGAUCUCACAUUAUUUAAAAGUGUACAACCGUUCAUCUGUGAACUUCCUUAACGUUCAAGGCCUUAAAAAGAAACUCAAACCACUUGCUGUCGUGUCUCCCUGGUUUAAGAUUCCCAAACAACUUUUUCAUAUAGAAGACAAUGAUGACCAUCAAGAUAAUCUAAGGGUGGAGCGAUGAACUGAGUGUAGUGGAGUGAGAGUGGAGACAGAGGCAUGUCUUUAGAAAACAUCACCUCAAUCCAGGACGGAUACAAACAGCUUUAAUUAGCCAUUUCCUGUAGAACAUCAGGGAAGUAGUUCUGUGUUUGUGUUAAUAACCAUUUCUUUGUCUUAGCUUGCUAACAAGUUCCGUCCCAUUGUCUUUUCCACUUAUCCGUGAGGGUCCCAGGAUGUUGCUGCAUUUUUCCCGCUAAGGGGUUGUGAUGCUUACUGAAGCCAAAUCCAGUUUUAUGGGCGAAGGCCAGGGUACACCCUGGAUGAGUUGCCAGCUCAUUGCAGGACCCUUACUGAUGGCAGUGGCUGCCACACAAGGUGCCAACUGCACAUCAGGAGCAACUUUGGGGUUCAGUAUCUUGCUCAAGGAUACUUCAUCAUGUAGCACAGUCUCGCCCCAGGGGAGCCGGGAUUCAAACCAGUCACCUGCUGCUAACAAGUGUAUUGAUAUAAAAUUUAAAAUGGCUUUAUGUGCAGGACUGUAUUAUCAGCAUAUAGACAGGCGUUAUAGUUUGUUACAGAGGAUGUAAUAUUGUUAAUAUAGCUUGUGAAAAAGACAGGACCGAGUAUUGAACCUUGCAGAACCUUUAGACGAUGGUAAAAACACGGAGAGAUCGUUUCCUUCAGUCACACGUUGUUGUCUGUGAGACAGGUAGUUCUUGAACCAGUUACAGGAAUUACAAUCAAAACCAACAUCACUUAACCUCUGUAUUAGCAGACGAUGGUCAACAGGAUCAAAAGCUUCUGUCAGAUCCACAGAGAAGGCAGCACAGUUUUCACUUCAUCAAUGACAGGACCAUGAAGCCCAACACUGAAAAAGCGGGGCCCCGAUUUUAUUCUGGCACUGUGCACAUCACUGACCUGCUGUAAAUCCAGACUUUGAUCAUAUAAUUGCAACUUUAUAGCCUCAUGUGAGGCAGCAGGUGUGAUGAGUGCUUGGUGCAGGCCUGUGAGUCCCAUUUUUAUGCUCCAUAGCAAACUGAAACCAUUUUUUCCAACUGGCAUCACUGAUGAGUGGUUUAAUUAAGACUGUGCAGCUGUUUAGUCCCAAUCCCUUGAGUCCUCUUCACAUUAUGUGUGUGGAGACACUCUUACUUUCUAAAUUUUAUAACACCAUCAUUAAAUCCAUCUCAUAAUUGUGAACUUCAGACGAGUGAUAUCAAAGUGACCUUGAUACGUGACACGUUUCUGUUUAUCAUUUGGUGACUAUGUUAACGCUUGGUUUGUGGGUCUGUUUAUGUGUAUCCUACUCUGUGACACACUGAUCCUACAGUAAUAACUACAUACAGUACAAAUUGUGUUCUUUUGGGCCGGGAUCUCCAGCCCCUUUUGGUUUGUUCUGUUAAACUUGUAAACAAAUAAACUUUGAAUAUUUCAUUUAAAAUAUGUCUCUGGUGUCCUUUUAUAUAUCGUGAU